AAUGUUUUAUGAAAGCAAGUUGUUAGAAUUGAGUUUGGCUAGUGUGAGACACAUUUUAUAUAGAUGGAGAAGAGGGUUUCUUUUUUGAUGUAACUUUGAUGGUACUACUCCUGAUCUGGAGGAGCUUUGAAUUGUAUUUUAAAUUCACCUGAGUAAAGAAUAUUAAAUAACAGGCUAAUCAUAGCCCACCACCUAUAACUUGUAGUGGCCUGAGGGCUAUAGCAGAUUUGUGAAUUUACAGCAAGAUCUUGAAUUUGCUGGGCUAAGGAAUGCAUAGGCUUGUCAGAUUGGAGUUGCUGAUGGCUAAUGGUGAACCCUUGGGUGAAUGCAAGAAUGGUAAAUGUUAGGUUGGGUUUGGAAAAACAAGCUUGUUUGUCUGCUGUGCCUCCUAGAUUUUUUUUUUUCCCACUGAAUCUAGUGAGCAUAAUAGAAUCACAGUUUGCAGAAGCAGAUGAGGCUGCAGCAAAACAGCUGUGCCUUUCUAUCAGAAGUUGACUCAAAACUUGUUUUCCAUCCCCAACAUACAUUCUUCCUAAAAGGAUGAGCCUUUUGCAUGCAGUAUCUCCUCUAUUUCCCUCUUCCAUUAUAUGUGAUUCCAGCAAUAGGAAAUAUUCCAAUGUAAC
This 623-nucleotide long non-coding RNA is filed under the name Gallus gallus (chicken). Its description in RNAcentral is "lncRNA (ENSGALG00010022726.1)". The record is from RNAcentral. Lineage: Eukaryota; Metazoa; Chordata; Aves; Galliformes; Phasianidae.